UACGGAGGAUGCAGGCGUUAUCCGGAUUUAUUAGGUUUAAAGGGUGCGUAGGCGGGUUUGUAAGUCAGUGGUGAAAUCCUACAGCUUAACUGUAGAACUGCCAUUGAAACUGCAGACCUUGAAUGUAGUUGAGGUUGGCGGAAUGUGUAAUGUAGCGGUGAAAUGCAUAGAUAUUACACAGAACACCGAUUGCGAAGGCAGCUAACUAAACUAUGAUUGACGCUGAGGCACGAAAGCGUGGGGAU
RNAcentral lists this ribosomal RNA (245 nucleotides) under uncultured bacterium. RNAcentral's name for it is "partial 16S ribosomal RNA". It matches the Rfam family "Bacterial small subunit ribosomal RNA", at positions 524 to 768 of the family's 1533-position model. The record is from RNAcentral.